This 253-nucleotide ribosomal RNA is filed under the name uncultured bacterium. RNAcentral's name for it is "partial 16S ribosomal RNA". It matches the Rfam family "Bacterial small subunit ribosomal RNA", at positions 524 to 776 of the family's 1533-position model. The record is from RNAcentral.
UACGUAGGGGGCAAGCGUUGUUCGGAUUCAUUGGGCGUAAAGCGCGCGUAGGCGGCUCUGUAAGUCCGUUGUGAAAGUCAAAGGCUCAACCUUUGAAAGCCGAUGGAUACUGCAGAGCUAGAGUCCGGAAGAGGCGAGUGGAAUUCCUGGUGUAGCGGUGGAAUGCGCAGAUAUCAGGAGGAACACCAAUAGCGAAGGCAGCUCGCUGGGACGGUACUGACGCUAAGGCGCGAAAGCGUGGGGAGCGAACAGG